GCUCCGUAGGUGAACCUGCGGAGGGAUCAUCACAGAGUUCAUGCCCUACCGGGUAGAUCUCCCACCCUAUGUUAUUGUUACUUUGUUGCUUUGGCGGGCCGUUAGGCUCCGGCCCGACUACCGGCCCCGGCUGGUAAGCGCCCGCCAGAGGACCCAAAACCCUGAAUAUUAGUGUCGUCUGAGUACUAUAUAAUAGUUAAAACUUUCAACAACGGAUCUCUUGGUUCUG
This 229-nucleotide unclassified non-coding RNA is filed under the name plant metagenome. RNAcentral describes it as "partial contains small subunit ribosomal RNA, internal transcribed spacer 1, and 5.8S ribosomal RNA". The record is from RNAcentral.